This 361-nucleotide unclassified non-coding RNA is filed under the name soil metagenome. RNAcentral's name for it is "partial contains 5.8S ribosomal RNA, internal transcribed spacer 2, and large subunit ribosomal RNA". The stretch from base 1 to 120 matches the Rfam family "5.8S ribosomal RNA", at positions 35 to 154 of the family's 154-position model. The record is from RNAcentral.
GAUGAAGAACGUAGUGAAAUGCGAUAAGUAAUGUGAAUUGCAGAAUUCAGUGAAUCAUCGAAUCUUUGAACGCACCUUGCGCUCCUUGGUAUUCCGAGGAGCAUGCCUGUUUGAGUGUCAUUAAUAUAUCAACCUUCUCUUUUUUGAGUUGUUUGGAUGUGGGGGUUUGCUGGCCUCUUAAAUGAUUCAGCUCCCCUGAAAUGCAUUAGCAGAACAACCUGUUCAUUAGCGUGAUAAUUAUCUAUGCUAUUGAAUGUGAGGGCAGUCAGCUUUCUAACCGUCCUUGGACAAUUCAUCAUUAAUGUGACCUCAAAUCAGGUAGGACUACCCGUUGAACUUAAGCAUAUCAAUAAGCGGAGGA